RNAcentral lists this ribosomal RNA (804 nucleotides) under uncultured bacterium. Its description in RNAcentral is "bacterial LSU rRNA". It matches the Rfam family "Bacterial large subunit ribosomal RNA", at positions 181 to 987 of the family's 2925-position model. The record is from RNAcentral.
AACCCGGGGAACUGAAACAUCUAAGUACCCGGAGGAAGAGAAAACAAUAGUGAUUCCGUUAGUAGCGGCGAGCGAAAGCGGAUUAGCCCAAACCCAUGUUGUUACGGCAAUAUGGGGGUUGUAGGACCACGACAUUUGAUGCUCUAUGAAUUAGAAUCUGUUGGAAAUCAGAACCGAAGAGGGUGAUAGUCCCGUAUAAGUAAAGAAAGUUAUCAAUAGUGGUAUCCUGAGUAGCGCGGGGCACGGGAAACCUUGCGUGAAUCUGCCGGGACCAUCCGGUAAGGCUAAAUACUCCUGAGAGACCGAUAGUGAACCAGUACCGUGAGGGAAAGGUGAAAAGAACCCUGAAUAAGGGAGUGAAAUAGAUCCUGAAACCAUACGCUUACAAGCGGUCGGAGCCCUACGGGGUGACGGCGUGCCUUUUGCAUAAUGAGCCUACGAGUUACCGUUGCUGGCAAGGUUAAGUACUUCAGGUACGGAUCCGUAGCGAAAGCGAGUCUGAAUAGGGCGCUUUAGUCAGCAGUGGUAGACGCGAAACCGUGUGAUCUACCCAUGGGCAGGGUGAAGCAGUGGUAACACACUGUGGAGGCCCGAACCCGUUGACGUUGAAAAGUCUUGGGAUGACCUGUGGGUAGGGGUGAAAGGCCAAUCAAACUCGGAAAUAGCUCGUACUCCCCGAAAUGCAUUUAGGUGCAGCGUUGUAUUAGUUUCCAAGAGGUAGAGCUACUGAUUGGAUGCGGGGGCUUCACCGCCUACCAAUUCCUGACAAACUCCGAAUGCUUGGAAAUGAUUUACAGCAGUGAG